RNAcentral lists this ribosomal RNA (513 nucleotides) under Dacus venetatus. RNAcentral describes it as "partial 16S ribosomal RNA". The stretch from base 389 to 513 matches the Rfam family "Bacterial large subunit ribosomal RNA", at positions 2473 to 2597 of the family's 2925-position model. Lineage: Eukaryota; Metazoa; Arthropoda; Insecta; Diptera; Tephritidae. The record is from RNAcentral.
GUCUUUUUGAGUUAUUUUUAAAGUCUGACCUGCCCACUGAAUUUUUUUAAAUGGCCGCAGUAUUUUAACUGUGCAAAGGUAGCAUAAUCAUUAGUCUUUUAAUUGAAGGCUGGUAUGAACGGUUGGACGAAGUAUAAGCUGUUUCAUGUAAAUUUACAGUAGAAUUUUAUAUUUUAGUCAAAAAGCUAAAAUGUAAUUAAAAGACGAGAAGACCCUAUAAAUCUUUAUAUUUUAUUUAAUUUAAAUUUUUUUGAUUUUUUUUAUUUUUAUUAUAUUAAAUAUUUUGUUGGGGUGAUAUUAAAAUUUGAUGAACUUUUAAUUGUUUUAAAUCAUUAAUUUAUGAAUUAUUGAUCCAUUAGUAGUGAUUAUAAGAUUAAGUUACUUUAGGGAUAACAGCGUAAUUUUUUUGGAGAGUUCUUAUCGAUAAAAAAGUUUGCGACCUCGAUGUUGGAUUAAGAUAUAGAUUUAGGUGUAGCCGCUUAAAUACUGAGUCUGUUCGACUUUUAAAUUCUU